RNAcentral lists this ribosomal RNA (484 nucleotides) under uncultured bacterium. Its description in RNAcentral is "partial 16S ribosomal RNA". It matches the Rfam family "Bacterial small subunit ribosomal RNA", at positions 28 to 507 of the family's 1533-position model. The record is from RNAcentral.
AUUGAACGCUGGCGGCAUGCUUUACACAUGCAAGUCGAACGGCAGCGCGGGCUUCGGCCUGGCGGCGAGUGGCGAACGGGUGAGUAAUGCAUCGGAACGUGCCCAGUAGUGGGGGAUAGCCCGGCGAAAGCCGGAUUAAUACCGCAUACGACCUGAGGGUGAAAGCGGGGGACCGAAAGGCCUGGGGCUAUUGGAGGGGCCGAUGUCGGAUUAGCUAGUUGGUGGGGUAAAGGCUUACCAAGGCGACGAUCCGUAGCUGGUCUGAGAGGACGACCAGCCACACUGGGACUGAGACACGGCCCAGACUCCUACGGGAGGCAGCAGUGGGGAAUUUUGGACAAUGGGGGCAGCCCUGAUCCAGCCAUGCCGCGUGCGGGAAGAAGGCCUUCGGGUUGUAAACCGCUUUUGUUCGGGAAGAAAUCCUCUGGGCUAAUACCCCGGGGGGAUGACGGUACCGGAAGAAUAAGCACCGGCUAACUACGUG